AAAAAGGCAAACCCUGAGUUUUCGUGUCUAAUUUUGACUAUCCGUCUUAUAUAAUUUUUUUUAUAAUUUGUAUUUUUAUUAUUGUUAGAUGAUAAAACAUGAUUAAUAUUUUAUGCGUGACUUGUCUUUUUAAUUUUUUUCAUAAUUUUUUCAAAUAAAACGGACGGUCAAAUGUUGGGCACGGAAACCAGGG
Molecule: microRNA precursor, 193 nt
Filed under: Oryza sativa Indica Group (long-grained rice)
Lineage: Eukaryota; Viridiplantae; Streptophyta; Magnoliopsida; Poales; Poaceae
Description: MIR812 microRNA precursor family
Rfam family: MIR812 microRNA precursor family
Source: Rfam by way of RNAcentral